UGGCUCUGGUCACAAGGAAACAGCAGCAGGCAACACCUGAGGAGACUUCACAGGUGAGGAAGACAGCAGGUGAAUAGUAAGAUACAAAAACUGGAGCAAAAAUGGGUGUUAUUAAAGUGAAUCAAAGUAACAACUGGAUUGGCAAGUACACAGAGGUACUGCUCUUCAUCAGAUCCAUCAGAUGCAUCAUCCCCAACCUGGCAAGAU
This 207-nucleotide long non-coding RNA is filed under the name Manacus vitellinus (golden-collared manakin). RNAcentral describes it as "lncRNA (ENSMVIG00005019529.1)". Lineage: Eukaryota; Metazoa; Chordata; Aves; Passeriformes; Pipridae. The record is from RNAcentral.